AAGUAAAAAUCGUAACAAGGUCUCCGUUGGUGAACCAGCGGAGGGAUCAUUACCGAGUUUACAACUCCCAAACCCCUGUGAACAUACCACUUGUUGCCUCGGCGGAUCAGCCCGCUCCCGGUAAAACGGGACGGCCCGCCAGAGGACCCCUAAACUCUGUUUCUAUAUGUAACUUCUGAGUAAAACCAUAAAUAAAUCAAAACUUUCAACAACGGAUCUCUUGGUUCUGGCAUCGAUGAAGAACGCAGCAAAAUGCGAUAAGUAAUGUGAAUUGCAGAAUUCAGUGAAUCAUCGAAUCUUUGAACGCACAUUGCGCCCGCCAGUAUUCUGGCGGGCAUGCCUGUUCGAGCGUCAUUUCAACCCUCAAGCACAGCUUGGUGUUGGGACUCGCGUUAAUUCGCGUUCCCCAAAUUGAUUGGCGGUCACGUCGAGCUUCCAUAGCGUAGUAGUAAAACCCUCGUUACUGGUAAUCGUCGCGGCCACGCCGUUAAACCCCAACUUCUGAAUGUUGACCUCGGAUCAGGUAGGAAUACCCGCUGAACUUAAGCAUAUCAU
RNAcentral lists this ribosomal RNA (555 nucleotides) under Fusarium oxysporum. RNAcentral's name for it is "eukaryotic LSU rRNA". The stretch from base 201 to 354 matches the Rfam family "5.8S ribosomal RNA". The record is from RNAcentral. Lineage: Eukaryota; Fungi; Ascomycota; Sordariomycetes; Hypocreales; Nectriaceae.